This 332-nucleotide ribosomal RNA is filed under the name uncultured bacterium. RNAcentral describes it as "bacterial SSU rRNA". It matches the Rfam family "Bacterial small subunit ribosomal RNA", at positions 568 to 898 of the family's 1533-position model. The record is from RNAcentral.
UGCGUAGGCGGCUGGGUAAGUCGCGUGUGAAAGCCCGGGGCUCAACCCCGGAGCUGCAUGCGAGACUGCCUGGCUCGAGCACGGUAGAGGCGGGCGGAAUUCCUGGUGUAGCGGUGGAAUGCGUAGAUAUCAGGAAGAACACCGGUGGCGAAGGCGGCUCGCUGGGCCGUUGCUGACGCUGAGGCACGAAAGCGUGGGGAGCAAACAGGAUUAGAUACCCUGGUAGUCCACGCCCUAAACGAUGGACACUAGGCGUCGGGGGGAGCGACCCUCCCGGUGCCGUCGCUAACGCAAUAAGUGUCCCGCCUGGGGAGUACGGCCGCAAGGCUGAA